RNAcentral lists this ribosomal RNA (467 nucleotides) under uncultured bacterium. RNAcentral describes it as "partial 16S ribosomal RNA". It matches the Rfam family "Bacterial small subunit ribosomal RNA", at positions 28 to 506 of the family's 1533-position model. The record is from RNAcentral.
GACGAACGCUGGCGGCGUGCUUAACACAUGCCAGUCGAACGGAAAGGCCCUUCCGUGGGGGGAUGCUCGAGUGACGAACGGGUGAGUAGCGCGUGAGUAACCUGCCCUUGAGGGUUGAAUAACUGCAGGUAACGGGAGCUAAUACCGUGUAGUAGUGCCGCCUGCAGGGGGUGGGUUGGAAAGGUUGGGCGGUUGGGGAUGGACUCGCUGCUUGUCAGCUUGUGGGGGGGGGAGUGGCUUAACAAGGCUUUGACGGGUGGCCGGCCUGAGAGGGUGACCGGCCACAUGGGGACUGAGAUGCGGCAGAGACUCAUACGGGGGGGAGCAGUGGGGAAUAUUGCAAAAGGGGCGAACGUGUGAUGCAGCAGCGCCGCGUGCGAGAUGACGGCCCUCGGGUUGUACACCGCUCUCGACUGUGACGACGCGUGAGUGACGGUACUGGGUAAAGAAGCCCCGGCAACCUCCGU